UACGUAGGGGGCAAGCGUUGUCCGGAUUUACUGGGCGUAAAGAGCUUGUAGGUGGUUUGUCGCGUUGUUCGUGAAAUCUCACGGCUCAACUGUGAGCGUGCGGGCGAUACGGGCAGACUAGAGUACUGCAGGGGAGACUGGAAUUCCUGGUGUAGCGGUGGAAUGCGCAGAUAUCAGGAGGAACACCGGUGGCGAAGGCGGGUCUCUGGGCAGUAACUGACGCUGAGAAGCGAAAGCGUGGGGAGCGAACAGG
This 253-nucleotide ribosomal RNA is filed under the name uncultured bacterium. RNAcentral's name for it is "partial 16S ribosomal RNA". It matches the Rfam family "Bacterial small subunit ribosomal RNA", at positions 524 to 776 of the family's 1533-position model. The record is from RNAcentral.